This is a long non-coding RNA of Salarias fasciatus (jewelled blenny), 584 nucleotides long. RefSeq lists it as uncharacterized. The record is from RefSeq and is a predicted model, not a curated record. Lineage: Eukaryota; Metazoa; Chordata; Actinopteri; Blenniiformes; Blenniidae. The transcript has 3 exons.
CCACGGACCACAGACAGAGCUCAGAGAACUGCAACAACCUCACCAAAUUCACCAGAAGGAGCUGGACGUCGUGAUGACAAUGUGGAACACCGGGAUCCAGCCAGGCACUAAAAGAUACGAUCCCUUCCAUGGAAAACCUUUCCUCUGUAUCAUGUACCAGAACUUUACCGAGCACAGGACGACCUCCAGCCAGUGGACAGAGGGAACAUUGUCUUGGAAGAGGACAUCUGUCUUUGGAAAACUGACUUUGUCUGUGAUCCAGAUCUUCACCAGCUCUGCCUUGUGGUCAUAAAUAAACUGAAUCUUUAGGCAGGUCAUAAUGCUGCUGAGGCAACCAGACUGUACAGACAGCCGGAGACUUAAUGAGAACACAGCUGUCAGUCAGAUUAACCCCCACCUACCAAAACUGUUGCCACAACAGCCAAUAUUAAAAACUUUAGCCUACCGCUUUGAGCACACUUCCAUUUCCAGUGUUUUAUACACCCCUGUUUUCUGAUUUUUUUUCUUUUUUUACAGUGUUAGUUUGUAUGAAACAUAUCAUGGAUGCACUGAAACAAAUAAAUGUGUUCAGUUUUAAUGUGGGA